ACCAGUAACAAACACACGUUCACGAUAUAUGAUCCCUGUAAAACGUUUCACCACCACCAACUGCUGGCAGCCAACAUAGCCCUUAAUAAGCCGCAUCAACCUACCCCUUGCCCUCUUUCUGUCCCGCGAUCACAGCGAGGACUAGAAAACGAAGCCAUGGUGACUAAUCUCCAGGCUUCAGGAGGUGACUGGGGUAAGUGAAAGCGACUUGGCCCAAUCAGCAGAGCCGCAGGGGCGGGGCAGCAGCGCCGAGGUUUCCAGAAGGGGCCAAAGGCCUAUUCGCUUGCUACUUGACACCGGGGCUUCCCCGCCGCCGGGCCCCGAGUGAGGUCAACUUUCCACCGCCAGAGGGGGAGCGCGCACUCUGCACCCCAUCCCCCGCCCGCAAGAAUCCAGCCUCCUCCCAGCUGUCACCAGAUGCCGGCUCGAGGCCCGCCCCGCUUCAUUCAUAACCCGGAGCCCCGGCCGCCGCAGCCGGUCCACUCCGCACCACAACCCCCUGCAGGCACUGAGACCGAGAGGGGGCGAUGGGACCCCCCCAGCCCUCAGUGCUGCCGCCGGACCCCCCUCCCCGGAAACAGCAAUGCACCACGGGAGUGGGGUGGGGGCCGCAUGCCGCCGAGAAUGAACCGCGACCACCGCCAGCCUGCCCCCGAGCGCGGGGCCCCACGCGCACACGCCCCUCGCCCAACCGCGGCAGGCUGCCGCCCAGAGUCGCGAGGCGCUCGCUGCCGCCGGGGCCACCGGCAGCCGCCACACACACCGGCGGCCG
This 772-nucleotide long non-coding RNA is filed under the name Rattus norvegicus (Norway rat). RNAcentral's name for it is "long non-coding RNA NONRATT025921". The record is from RNAcentral. Lineage: Eukaryota; Metazoa; Chordata; Mammalia; Rodentia; Muridae.